AACAUUAAUGUUCUUUGGAUAUUUAAUAUUAGUACUGUAUGUGAAUAGGGAUGUUAAAUACUAGAACAAAAUAAGAAAUCGAUGAGGAACACGCGCGAGUGAGGGGAAGAUGAGAGGGAGAGAAGAGGCGGUGGGCUCAAAAUGGGUAUGGAAUCAGGAGGGGGCAGAGAUACGGUGUCGUAUCGAUAGGUUACAGACAGCCUAUAAAGAACCCUAAACACUGCAUGGAUUGGAGUUGUCUGUGAAUCCAACAUGCAUUCCCGUCCCAUGCCUCCUUUCAUUUAUUGUUAUAUUUUCCCGAUGUCUUUUAGUUCAUAAUAAUAUCAAAUGUUAAUUAAUUUUUCAUUAAUUUCAUCUG
This 358-nucleotide long non-coding RNA is filed under the name Brassica napus (rape). RNAcentral's name for it is "long non-coding RNA (BNAP_LNC022025)". The record is from RNAcentral. Lineage: Eukaryota; Viridiplantae; Streptophyta; Magnoliopsida; Brassicales; Brassicaceae.